GUUCGCCACAAGCGGGCCUCGACGAGGACCGCGACCAGGGCGACGCCCGAGUAGAUGCAGAGACACGCCCUGGCCAGGGCCGUCCAUCCGCUCCGGUGCCGCGCCGGCGAUGCGCAGCACCACUGGCAGAUCCGUCGGCCCUCCAUCUCGCCCGUGCUCGUGUUGUUUGUUUGUGUUGGUUUUCUUUUUUUCUUCUCUUUCUUCUUUUUUAUUUCCUUUUCUCCUUGUGAUUUUGUUUUUUCUUUUGCGCAGUCCUUGGUGGCCCGUUUGUCUUCUGGGACUUUUUCCCGUCUCUUCCCUCUCCCUUUGUGGGAGCCCCAGCGCUCUUCUCUCGGCGUCGCUGCGGUUUGUGCUUGCGUCGCUCUUUUGUUUUUUUUUCACAGCGCCACGACGCCUCACUCUGUGAUUGGACGCGGUCCAAAACGGCCCCUCGAAAAAAUAUACAAAAAGUAUUUCUUC
This 459-nucleotide long non-coding RNA is filed under the name Pandoravirus dulcis. Its description in RNAcentral is "putative ncRNA". The record is from RNAcentral.